RNA transcript from Zingiber officinale, 1400 nucleotides. RefSeq lists it as uncharacterized. The record is from RefSeq and is a predicted model, not a curated record. Lineage: Eukaryota; Viridiplantae; Streptophyta; Magnoliopsida; Zingiberales; Zingiberaceae. The transcript is spliced from 5 exons.
AAGCACCUCAGUCCAACUCAUACCAAAAAUCGUGGACUUGGCUUCCUCUUUUGCAACCCGUGCCCUAACUCUCCGCCUCCUCCUUCUUCCUCUUUCACAAUUCUCCUCCCGUGCCCUAUAUCUCCUCCUCCUCCUUCCUCUUUCGUGAAACUCCUUCGUGAUUCUCCUCCUAUGCCCUAACUCUCCUCCUCCUCCUUCCUCUUUCGCGAACCUCCUCAGUGAAGCUCCCGAGCCGCUUCUUCCCUCCCGUUCUCAAAGAGAGGAGCGAAGCUUGUCCCCUUCGUGCCCUAACUUCUUUGAUCACAACCUUGAGUUCUCCUUUCGCUUCCUCCCUAUGAGGCGAGGUGCUUCUUCCCUCCCAUUCUCGAAGAGAGGAGCGAAGGAGUUUAUCCAAAAAAAAUAGAGUCAAAGUCCUGACCUAGCUAUAGGGUCAAGUUAUGGCACAUCAAGUUUUGUGGUGGUGUGUGAAAUCAGGCGUCCGAGAAGCACUAGUUGGAGAAGGACAUCAUGGAGUACAUCAAGAAGGAGUUCACUAGCAAGUAUGGACAGACUUGGCACUACUUUAUCGGUCGCAACUUUGGGAAUUUUAUGUAGGCAUGUGAUCAAUGUGUUGAUAAGAAUGAAGGUGAUUGAGGUUCCUAUAAAUUAUAUUAUGGACCGAUGGCGCAAAGAUAUUAAGCGUGGGUAUCAAAGUAUCGGUAAUAUCUAUGAUGAUUAUGGUUGUGGUGGAGAAAGACAUCGGUCUAAUAUUCUCACUCCAUUGAUACAAGAGGUUCAGCAACUUGGCGCAAAAAAUAACGCAAAUUGUUCUGUCUUGGUAGAAAUUUUGAAAGACACAAAGGAAAAACUGAUUGCUAUUGAUCUUGAGCAUUCAAGGGUUGAACAAUUGAAAGAAGUAUCUACAUCGGGUGCAAAAGUGAUACACUCUCCAUUAAAAGUAAGAGCUCGAGGUUGUCCAUCCACAAAGAGGAAACAAUCUAAGAUUGAACAAAUUGUGAAGAAAUCAAUUGCAAAGGCCCGAAGAAGGAGUUGCUGAUUUUGAAGUUUGUUCUGAAACUACUAUAUGACCUACAUGCUGAUUUAGAACUUGAAUUGGUGGUUAAGCUCAUCAUAUGCAUCUGCUCUCUGUGCUGAGUGAAAUUCUUCUAGAGCUUCUACGAUAUAUGAAGGGUUGAAACUGCUAUAGGGAGUUCCUAGUUCUAAAGUUUUUUCUGAAGUUACUGUAUGACCCACAUGCUAAUUUAGAACUUAAUUGAAUUGGUGGCUGAGCUUAUAUGUACCUGAAGCUUACUUUAUUGUUGUUUUUAUUUGGCAUAAUUGCAAAGCUCAUAUGUAUUUGAAGUCUUUUUAGAUUUGGAGCUAUUUUUAUACACAAGUAUAAUGUUGGUUUCUAUUUUUCU